UUCUAGGUCCUCCACAACCAAGACAGAAUUGAAGUAUAGUCGAGUACAACAAGCAUCAGAGACAAGUCCAUUUGGUUUCUUACUCAAUUCAGCCAGAGAAACUUUCAGAAUGAAAAUUGAAGUAUGGCACCGGAUAUUUAGACGACAGCCAACAAGAUAAACAAAUAGAACAAUAGGUUUGACCGCCUCAAGAAAGAAGCUAGGUGUCAGCCAGGAGGUUGUUGUCACCUACUCGCAUGGCAGCUGUAGUUGAGUCCCCAAGAUGCAGGUGACAGGAGGUCGACGUGCAGUGUCUUCCCCGUAUCCUGUGGUCGAGUAUUGCUUCUCAACUUCCAUCCGGAUUGAUGACUGCCUUCCCCGAUCUUCGACCUCUGCUUGGACACGGACAUAUUUGCCUCUCUCCAACCCUCGACUGCUUGCCUCUCCACAGACUGCCUCUUUGCCUUGCCCCCUUGGUUCGAUGAAGAAUUGAUCCAACACGCACAGACAGCAACCCCUGGUAAAAUUUAUAUUGUUAAUUGAGCACAUCGUCCUCACACAUUCACUUGAAGUAGCAUCUCUCAGUCGUCCUCAGACGAGUUUCCAUCAGAGUCUCCAAUCAUUCCGGUGCUCCAUACACCUGGCCAGUUCCGUGGACCUUUCAGCUCCCGCAUCUUUCUUCAGGAUGUGCCCGUACGUUAGCGCGGUACAUCCUCGCGAUCGAUGCCCGUGCGUUGGUUCCCAUAGAACCAGCCUGCUGGUCGGGGGCUCCCGAUGUAUGUGGCAGUGGCCGGCAAGCCUCAUCCUCCUAGUUGUUACCUUCUUGCUGAGCCUCGGCAGUUGCCCAUACAGUUCCUUGGUGGUGAUGUGGAUGCUCUGGUCCACAUUGAGAACAGCUUGCAUCAUUCUGGUGUAGCAUACACAUCCUAUACACUCAUCAAAGGUUUAAAUAAACCUGUUAAACCGCA
Nerophis ophidion (straightnose pipefish) is the source of this 947-nucleotide long non-coding RNA. RefSeq lists it as uncharacterized. The transcript is spliced from 2 exons. NCBI's taxonomy places the organism in Eukaryota, Metazoa, Chordata, Actinopteri, Syngnathiformes, Syngnathidae. The record is from RefSeq and is a predicted model, not a curated record.